RNAcentral lists this ribosomal RNA (465 nucleotides) under uncultured bacterium. Its description in RNAcentral is "partial 16S ribosomal RNA". It matches the Rfam family "Bacterial small subunit ribosomal RNA", at positions 28 to 507 of the family's 1533-position model. The record is from RNAcentral.
GACGAACGCUGGCGGCGUGCUUAACACAUGCAAGUCGUACGGUAAGGCCCUUUCGGGGGUCCACGAGUGGCGAACGGGUGAGUAACACGUGAGUAACCUGCCCACAACUUUGGGAUAACGCUAGGAAACUGGUGCUAAUACUGGAUAUGUGCUCCUGCUGCAUGGUGGGGGUUGGAAAGCUCCGGCGGUUGUGGAUGGACUCGCGGCCUAUCAGCUUGUUGGUGGGGUAGUGGCCUACCAAGGCGGCGACGGGUAGCCGGCCUGGGAGGGUGACCGGCCACAGUGGGACUGGGAUACGGCCCAGACUCCGACGGGAGGCAGCAGUGGGGAAUAUUGCACAAUGGGCGCAAGCCUGAUGCAGCAACGCCGCGGGCGGGAGGACGGCCUUCGGGUUGGAAACCGAUUUCAGCAGGGACGAAGCUUUUUGUGACGGUACCUGCAGAAGAAGCACCGGCUAACUACGUG